RNAcentral lists this ribosomal RNA (253 nucleotides) under uncultured bacterium. RNAcentral's name for it is "partial 16S ribosomal RNA". It matches the Rfam family "Bacterial small subunit ribosomal RNA", at positions 524 to 776 of the family's 1533-position model. The record is from RNAcentral.
GACGGAGGAUGCAAGCGUUAUCCGGAAUUAUUGGGCGUAAAGCGUCCGUAGGCGGUUUCAAAAGUCUGUUGUUAAAGCCCACAGCUCAACUGUGGAUCGGCAAUGGAAACUGUGAGACUAGAGAGUGGUAGGGGUAGAGGGAAUUCCUGGUGUAGCGGUGAAAUGCGUAGAUAUCAAGAGGAACACCUGAGGUGAAGACGGGUUGCUGGGCUGACACUGACGCUGAGGCGCGAAAGCCAGGGGAGCAAACGGG